This 445-nucleotide ribosomal RNA is filed under the name uncultured bacterium. Its description in RNAcentral is "partial 16S ribosomal RNA". It matches the Rfam family "Bacterial small subunit ribosomal RNA", at positions 330 to 792 of the family's 1533-position model. The record is from RNAcentral.
UCCAGACUCCUACGGGAGGCAGCAGUGGGGAAUAUUGCACAAUGGGGGGAACCCUGAUGCAGCGACGCCGCGUGAGUGAAGAAGUAUUUCGGUAUGUAAAGCUCUAUCAGCAGGGACGAAGAUGACGGUACCUGCAGAAGAAGCCCCGGCUAACUACGUGCCAGCAGCCGCGGUAAUACGUAGGGGGCAAGCGUUAUCCGGAUUUACUGGGUGUAAAGGGGGCGCAGACGGCGAUGCAAGCCAGGAGUGAAAGCCUGGGGCCCAACCCCGGGACUGCUCUUGGAACUGCGUGGCUGGAGUGCAGGAGGGGCAGGCGGAAUUCCUGGUGUAGCGGUGAAAUGCGUAGAUAUCAGGAGGAACACCGGUGGCGAAGGCGGCCUGCUGGACUGCAACUGACGUUGAGGCCCGAAAGCGUGGGGAGCAAACAGGAUUAGAUACCCCCGUA